GCCCUGCGAGGAAGUCGUACAGUUUGAGCUGAAGCUGAGUGCUACGAGUGAAAAAGUCGCACAGUGUCCGCCCAGCUUUAGACUCAUUCAUAGUGGCUCGCAACGGGGAAGGCUGUUGUUUUAGCAUCCAGAAUAAGCAGAAAAUGUCUCUGCUGGCAGAAGCUAAAGUUAGCAUUAGCAACUUAACCACACGGCAGAAGUUAGGCAUGUGCAGAUUGUGGAGAUGAAACACAGACGAUGCAGAGUAAGCAGAGUCAGGGGUAGAGCCGCGUUGCUGCUAUCCAAUCCGAGGCACAAUUUCCAAAUAUCAGGAAAUAAGACUCCAAAUCAUCCUGUGUUAAUCUCCUCUGAUGUGGCGCAGACUUGUCCAUGCUCUGUCUCGUUAGAUUGGUGCAACUAAAGUUUGUACUGAAUGAAACUUUACAUUAAACCAUGUUGAAAAGGUAAGAAAAGGAUGAGAUUAAGUAAUUUUUUCCCUCCUUUACAGUCACGGAGUACAGCGUAGUGCGCAUGGCUCUGGGGUUAAUCAAGUUUAAUUGUUUCUCUUUGCAACAAUCUUCACAAGAAGGCAAAACAGUUAAAUGGCAGGUUACAGAUAUUUCCAUUUGACUGUUUAUUUUGACGGCUAAACUCAAGAAUGUUGGUUGUUUUGAAAGAAUUACCCCGACGCAGACUGAUACAGAUCAUUACGCACAUCGCGGAGGUAACUAAAUCAAUCAAAAUAAGAUUCCCAUCAGAACAACAGAGCUUUAUACUGGACACUGUGCUCAGCGCAGCUCACAGCGCACACGGUGGACAGUGAGCUGAAGAUCUGUAGAGGGGUUCACAGCACAGCACAGAACCACAGUGCAUGUGGUAAGAUUUCCUCCCACUGAAGCGGUCUGGAAACCCUGUCUCUCUGAGGGAUGUGUCACUUGGAAAAAUGUUCGCUAUUAUGAAACUUUGGCUGAACAGCGCUUGUUUCCGUCUCCAAUAUGGAGACGCAUGACGCAUCCAGUCUGUCUGAGGCAGAAUAGCCUCCUCAGCUCAGAAAGCACCAGUAGAGACAUUUGAUCACGCACAAAGUUUAUGUUGAGCAGAAGCGGUCGGGCCACGGCAGGUGAAAUGUUCCUAGCCUACAUGAAGUGUAACUGUUUAAUUGUAACAUUAAUAUGUUACUGGACACGCUGGUCUGGUUGGUUAGACCAGUGUUUGAAGUGGAAAACACACACACACACACACACACACACCAAUUAAAAUAAUGCUGACAGCGUGGACUAGAAGCCAGGUGAUGGUUUAUGUAUUUGAAUGAUGAUCAUGCUGCUGUAAAAUGUAAUCUCCAUCCACAUCCAGACAGAAUUCUCCUCUAUUCUGUCUCUAUUUUCUCUGCUCUUGUCUGGGCUGACGUAGCUGAUGGUGCGGUACCCUUAUGAAAGAGUUCUACAUUGAGAGGUACAUUUAAGAAGUGCAGGUAGAGUUAGAAAAAUCUGCAGGGCCACAAACACAUUAGGGAAGAUGGACUGUAGACUAUUUUUUAGCCCGAAAACGAUCAUGGUUCUAUUUAUAUUGCAUUAUUCAUGUGGACUCUCCGGGGAUUAUUUAGAACUGAGAGGUGCAGAGCUCUGAUCGUUGACGUGCUCCAGACAGAUGCGUCCUGAGAACGGCCACAGUAACAUUCUCAAAGUGUCACCACCUCAAAAACAAAUUUAACAUGCGAUCAUUUAUAUCGGCUCAUAUCCUUUUAUGUUUUCUGUCUUUUGUUUGUGCCUGAUGUGUUUUGCUGCUGCAGAGCGCAUAACCAGUUUCGUCCUCCGGUGACUUCGCCUCACCGGUGCAGCCGGCGCGCUCUGCUAUAUUUACGGUAGGUAGAUCUUUUUUAACUGCAGUUCUAAAGGUAACUCAUAAGGUGAAUACAUAUGAAGGCAGGUGGCAGUUUUUCUUCAGGAUUGAGAGGAGAUGCCGGAAGAUAAACAGACAGGACAGAAAAAUAGUCAAAUAAAAACAAGUUCGUUUUUGUACCUGGUGGUUGCAACAAACAGACACCAUUGAAAGUAAUUAGAAGCGAGGAACAGAAAAUUAAAUGAUUCUUUCAACGUUUAGAUCAGCAGGAACUCUGAGAGGCUGCAGGCACAUCAGUGAGUUUGCGGCCACUGCGCAGGGGGAGGGGCGAGAGAGCUGAAGCAGGCAGUAAAGAUGCAAAAACUAUCGUUGUUAAAAGAAAUGUGUGUUAACUUAGAAGAUGUGGGCGCAAUUUUAAUUACUUGUCAACAUUUUUCUCCAAUGUUAAGACUGCUGCACAAAAAAAAAGACUGCUGCUUGCGUGGGCCCCCUUGUGGCUGUGGGCCCCUGGGCCUGUGCCCAGUUUGACAAUAUUAUAAUCCGGCUUUGGCUAAUGCUAGCACAAUAUGCUAGUAAAGUUAGCACCCAGAUUAAUGUGGAUUUGGCCGAUUUUCGUGGAAUAAAACGUGAUCUGGAAAUUCUGAUCAACGCCUUCUUUUUAGCCAGAUGAUAACUUUCCACUGAUUGUAGCAGCAGAGAGCCCGUGUGUUUUACUCCGUGAGUAUGAUGUGAUCUGAGCAUCCAGUAAAUAAAGUCCCAUGUCAGCAAAAAUGCAGUGUGACAAAGUCGUUAAAGUGCGUCAACACAGUGGAGUUUAAAGAACAAUCUCUGAGUGAAGUGAGGUUAGUUUUUUGUCCAACUGCAGAUAUAAAAACUAACUCUGCAUCAGUCAUAUACAGCGAAGCUCACUGACACUCAUCUGUAUGAGCGUGAGCGUCCGAAAGCUGAUAAAAUCACCUGUAAAAUAAUUAAAACACAAGUAAAAUGCUCCUUUGCUUUUUAGAGUCCACAUCCAGAAGGCUGGAGCCGUAUUUCACUGACAGGCUGUCAGACUAAAACCCUGAUGAGCUCAGCUGGGACAAACUCUGGUCUGAUGUUUAGGUAAGUGAAGAUCUGGUUCUCCAAGGCCUUGAGAUGCUAGUAAAAAAAUAAUUUAGCCAGCUUGCUAAUGUUACUUUUCUUCUCCUCUAAGGAACACAAAACACUCAGAUGUUGGAGCUUCACGUCACCUACUGAGGAA
Molecule: long non-coding RNA, 3058 nt
Organism: Nothobranchius furzeri (turquoise killifish)
Lineage: Eukaryota; Metazoa; Chordata; Actinopteri; Cyprinodontiformes; Nothobranchiidae
Source: Ensembl